GCUAACUCCGUGCCAGCAGCGUGGGUAAUACGGGGGGUGGAAGCGUUAUCCGGAUUUAUUGGGUUUAAAGGGUCCGUAGGCGGACUUAUAAGUCAGUGGUGAAAGCCUGUCGCUUAACGAUAGAACUGCCAUUGAUACUGUAAGUCUUGAGUAUAAUUGAGGUAGCUGGAAUAAGUAGUGUAGCGGUGAAAUGCAUAGAUAUUACUUAGAACACCAAUUGCGAAGGCAGGUUACCAAGUUAUAACUGACGCUGAGGGACGAAAGCGUGGGGAGCGAACAGGAUUAGAUACCCGAGUAGUC
This 300-nucleotide ribosomal RNA is filed under the name uncultured Lactobacillus sp. RNAcentral describes it as "bacterial SSU rRNA". It matches the Rfam family "Bacterial small subunit ribosomal RNA", at positions 496 to 795 of the family's 1533-position model. Lineage: Bacteria; Bacillati; Bacillota; Bacilli; Lactobacillales; Lactobacillaceae. The record is from RNAcentral.